AGCGAACGCUGGCGGUAGGCCUAACACAUGCAAGUCGAACGGCAGCACAGUAAGAGCUUGCUCUCACGGGUGGCGAGUGGCGGACGGGAGCGGUAUACAGCGGAAUCUACAUUUUCGUGGGGGAUAACGUAGGGAAACUUACGCUAAUACCGCAUACGACCUACGGGUGAAAGCAGGGGAUCUUUGGACCUCGCGCGAUUGAAUGAGCCGAUGUCGGAUUAGCUAGUUUGCGGGGUAAAGGCCCACCAAGGCGACGAUCCUUAGCUGGUCUGAGAGGAUGAUCAGCCACACUGGAACUGAGACACGGUCCCGACUCCUGCGGGGGGCAGCAGUGGGGAAUAUUGGGCGAUGGGGGCAAGCCUGAUCCAGCCAUACCGCGUGGGUGAAGAAGGCGUUCGGGUUGUAAAGCCAUUAUGGUGGUAGAAAAAGGCAGCAGGUUAGUACGCCGCGGUUCUGACGGUACCCGAAGAAGAAGCACCGGCUAACUUCGUG
Molecule: ribosomal RNA, 492 nt
Filed under: uncultured bacterium
Lineage: Bacteria
Description: partial 16S ribosomal RNA
Rfam family: Bacterial small subunit ribosomal RNA
Source: RNAcentral